CAUGCAAGUCGAACGGAAAGUGCCCAGCUUGCUGGGUGACUCGAGUGGCGAAGGGGUGAGUAACACGUGGGUGAUCUGCCCUGCACUUCGGGAUAAGCCUGGGAAACUGGGUCUAAUACCGAAUAUUUCCUGCUGGUCGCAUGGCCUGGUGGGGGAAAGCUUUUGCGGUGUGGGAUGGGCCCGCGGCCUAUCAGCUUGUUGGUGGGGUGAUGGCCUACCAAGGCGACGACGGGUAGCCGGCCUGAGAGGGUGUCCGGCCACACUGGGACUGAGAUACGGCCCAGACUCCUACGGGAGGCAGCAGUGGGGAAUAUUGCACAAUGGGCGCAAGCCUGAUGCAGCGACGCCGCGUGAGGGAUGACGGCCUUCGGGUUGUAAACCUCUUUCAAUAGGGACGAAGCGUGAGUGACGGUACCUAUAGAAGAAGCACCGGCCAACUGCGUGCCAGCAGCCGCGGUAAUACGUAGGGUGCGAGCGUUGUCCGGAAUUACUGGGCGUAAAGAGCUCGUAGGUGGUUUGUCGCGUUGUUCGUGAAAACUCACG
This 543-nucleotide ribosomal RNA is filed under the name uncultured Mycobacterium sp. RNAcentral describes it as "bacterial SSU rRNA". It matches the Rfam family "Bacterial small subunit ribosomal RNA", at positions 54 to 606 of the family's 1533-position model. Lineage: Bacteria; Bacillati; Actinomycetota; Actinomycetes; Mycobacteriales; Mycobacteriaceae. The record is from RNAcentral.